AACGCUAGCUACAGGCUUAACACAUGCAAGUCGCGGGGUAACAUCUGGGAGAGCUUGCUCUUCCAGGAUGACGACCGGCGCACGGGUGAGUAACGCGUAUCCAACCUGCCCGUCACUUGGGAAUAACCUUGCGAAAGUAAGACUAAUGCCCAAUGACAUUUAUAGAAGGCAUCUGAAAUGAAUUAAAGAUUUAUCGGUGAUGGAUGGGGAUGCGUCUGAUUAGCUUGUUGGCGGGGUAACGGCCCACCAAGGCGACGAUCAGUAGGGGUUCUGAGAGGAAGGUCCCCCACAUUGGAACUGAGACACGGUCCAAACUCCUACGGGAGGCAGCAGUGAGGAAUAUUGGUCAAUGGGCGAGAGCCUGAACCAGCCAAGUAGCGUGCAGGAAGACGGCCCUAUGGGUUGUAAACUGCUUUUAUAGGGGAAUAAAGUGAGCCACGUGUGGCUUUUUGCAUGUACCCUAUGAAUAAGGACCGGCUAAUUCCGUGCCAGCAGCCGCGGUAAUACGGAAGGUCCGGGCGUUAUCCGGAUUUAUUGGGUUUAAAGGGAGCGCAGGCCGUGGGUUAAGCGUGUCGUGAAAUUCCGUCGCUCAACGGCGGACGUGCGGCGCGAACUGGUCCACUUGAGUACGCGGGACGUUGGCGGAAUUCGUGGUGUAGCGGUGAAAUGCUUAGAUAUCACGAAGAACUCCGAUUG
This 696-nucleotide ribosomal RNA is filed under the name uncultured bacterium. RNAcentral describes it as "bacterial SSU rRNA". It matches the Rfam family "Bacterial small subunit ribosomal RNA", at positions 32 to 715 of the family's 1533-position model. The record is from RNAcentral. RNAcentral also lists the same sequence under 1 other name.